RNAcentral lists this ribosomal RNA (511 nucleotides) under uncultured bacterium. Its description in RNAcentral is "bacterial SSU rRNA". It matches the Rfam family "Bacterial small subunit ribosomal RNA", at positions 791 to 1304 of the family's 1533-position model. The record is from RNAcentral.
UAGUCCACGCCGUAAACGAUGGAUACUAGCUGUCCGGGGCCUUGAGUCCUGGGCGGCCAAGCGAAAGUGAUAAGUAUCCCACCUGGGGAGUACGUUCGCAAGAAUGAAACUCAAAGGAAUUGACGGGGGCCCGCACAAGCGGUGGAGCAUGUGGUUUAAUUCGAUGAUACGCGAGGAACCUUACCAGGGCUUAAAUGUAGAUUGACAGGACUAGAGAUAGUUUUUCCUUCGGGCAAUUUACAAGGUGCUGCAUGGUUGUCGUCAGCUCGUGCCGUGAGGUGUCAGGUUAAGUCCUAUAACGAGCGCAACCCCUGCCGUUAGUUGCCAGCAUGUUAUGAUGGGGACUCUAGCGGGACUGCCGGUGCAAACCGUGAGGAAGGUGGGGAUGACGUCAAAUCAUCACGGCCCUUACGUCCUGGGCCACACACGUGCUACAAUGGUCGUGACAAAGAGUUGCUAGUCUGCGAAGGCAAGCCAAUCUCAUAAACGCGGCCUUAGUUCGGAUUGCAGG